AUUCCUACGGGGCGCAGCAGUGGGGAAUAUUGCACAAUGGGGGAAACCCUGAUGCAGCGACGCCGCGUGAGUGAAGAAGUAAUUCGUUACGCAAAGCUCUAUCAGCAGGGAAGAAAUACUGACCUUACGGUCAGCAGACGGUACCUGAGUAAGAAGCCCCGGCUAACUACGUGCCAGCAGCCGCGGUAAUACGUAUGGAGCAAGCGUUAUCCGGAUUUACUGGGUGUAAAGGGAGCGCAGGCGGUCUGGCAAGUCUGAUGUGAAAUACCGGGGCUCAACUCCGGGACUGCAUUGGAAACUGUCAG
This 305-nucleotide ribosomal RNA is filed under the name uncultured bacterium. RNAcentral describes it as "bacterial SSU rRNA". It matches the Rfam family "Bacterial small subunit ribosomal RNA", at positions 335 to 639 of the family's 1533-position model. The record is from RNAcentral.